GACGAACGCUGGCGGCGUGCUUAACACAUGCAAGUCGUACGGUAAGGCCCUUUGGGGGGUACCCGAGUGGCGAACGGGUGCGUAACAGGGGAGUAACCAUCCCACACCUUUGGGACAAGGGGAGUAAAGUGGGGCUACUUACGGUUAUGUCCCCCUGCUGCAUGGGGGGGGUUGGGGAGAUCCUGGGGGUGUGGGUGGACUCGCGGCCUAUCAGCUUGUUGGUGCGGUGGUGGGCUACCAAUGCGGCGACGGGUAGCCGGACUGAGAGGGUGACAGGCGACAUUGGGUCUGAGAUACGGCCCAGACUCCUACGGGAGGACGAAGGGGGGAAGAUUGCACAAUGGGCGCCAGCCUGAUGAAGAAACGCCGCGGGCGGGAUGACGGCCUUCGGGUUGAAAACCGCUUUCAGCAGGGACGAAGCUUUUUGUGACGGUACCUGAAGAAGAAGCACCGGCUAACUACGUG
Molecule: ribosomal RNA, 465 nt
Filed under: uncultured bacterium
Lineage: Bacteria
Description: partial 16S ribosomal RNA
Rfam family: Bacterial small subunit ribosomal RNA
Source: RNAcentral